CGACCUGAGCUCAGGCAAGACUACCC
RNAcentral lists this ribosomal RNA (26 nucleotides) under Auxenochlorella protothecoides. RNAcentral's name for it is "partial 28S ribosomal RNA". RNAcentral also lists the same sequence under 1 other name. The record is from RNAcentral. Lineage: Eukaryota; Viridiplantae; Chlorophyta; Trebouxiophyceae; Chlorellales; Chlorellaceae.